RNAcentral lists this ribosomal RNA (776 nucleotides) under Kitasatospora saccharophila. RNAcentral describes it as "bacterial SSU rRNA". It matches the Rfam family "Bacterial small subunit ribosomal RNA", at positions 60 to 852 of the family's 1533-position model. Lineage: Bacteria; Bacillati; Actinomycetota; Actinomycetes; Kitasatosporales; Streptomycetaceae. The record is from RNAcentral.
AGUCGACGGUGAAGCCCUUCGGGGUGGAUCAGUGGCGAACGGGUGAGUAACACGUGGGGAAUCUGCCCUGAACUCUGGGACAAGCCUUGGAAACGAGGUCUAAUACCGGAUACGACCUUCUCCUGCAUGGGGGUUGGUGGAAAGCUCCGGCGGUUCAGGAUGAUCCCGCGGCCUAUCAGCUUGUUGGUGGGGUAAUGGCCUACCAAGGCGACGACGGGUAGCCGGCCUGAGAGGGCGACCGGCCACACUGGGACUGAGACACGGCCCAGACUCCUACGGGAGGCAGCAGUGGGGAAUAUUGCACAAUGGGCGAAAGCCUGAUGCAGCGACGCCGCGUGAGGGAUGACGGCCUUCGGGUUGUAAACCUCUUUCAGCAGGGAAGAAGCGCAAGUGACGGUACCUGCAGAAGAAGCACCGGCUAACUACGUGCCAGCAGCCGCGGUAAUACGUAGGGUGCGAGCGUUGUCCGGAAUUAUUGGGCGUAAAGAGCUCGUAGGCGGCCUGUCGCGUCGGAUGUGAAAGCCCGGGGCUUAACCCCGGGUCUGCAUUCGAUACGGGCAGGCUAGAGUGUGGUAGGGGAGAUCGGAAUUCCUGGUGUAGCGGUGAAAUGCGCAGAUAUCAGGAGGAACACCGGUGGCGAAGGCGGAUCUCUGGGCCAUUACUGACGCUGAGGAGCGAAAGCGUGGGGAGCGAACAGGAUUAGAUACCCUGGUAGUCCACGCCGUAAACGUUGGGAACUAGGUGUUGGCGACAUUCCACGUCGUCGGUGCCGCAGC